CACACGUGUUUGUGCGUGUCUGUGUGUCUGUCUGUCUGUCUCCAUCUGUCUCUGUAUCUCUCUGAUAGCUCUUGAUUAAUGGAACCUAUAUUAUGAGGAUUUGGGAAGCUGAGGCAGGAGGAUCAGGAGUUCAAGGCAUCCUCAGUUUGCCGAUGUCAGUAGAUCCACUUCUUCAGGGUUCCUUAGGGGCACAGUUACCUGGACCAGUGGCAGAGGAGUAAAACCCAUUGUCUGAAGGCUCUAAAGAGGAGAGAUGGGCGGUUUAGGCUUAAGCACAGUUUCUGGAAGGAUAGCAGGUUUUCUGAUAUCCCUCCAUACCCACUCUCCAUCAGCUUCUCCCUGGACAGCUCUCCUGGGCUCCUGGCUGGGAGCCUGACUGGGACCAGUCAGAGGGAAGACCCUGUUGGAGUCUGGAGAGGAGAGGAGAG
This 428-nucleotide long non-coding RNA is filed under the name Cricetulus griseus (Chinese hamster). RNAcentral describes it as "lncRNA (ENSCGRG00015033672.1)". The record is from RNAcentral. Lineage: Eukaryota; Metazoa; Chordata; Mammalia; Rodentia; Cricetidae.